CGAAAGCCUGACGGAGCAACGCCGCGUGUGGGAAGAAGGCUCUUGGGCUGUCAACCACUUUUCUCAGGGAAGAAGAUCUGACGGUACCUGAGGAAUCAGCCUCGGCUAACUCCGUGCCAGCAGCCGCGGUAAUACGGAGGAGGCAAGCGUUAUCCGGAAUUAUUGGGCGUAAAGCGUCCGCAGGUGGCGAUUCAAGUCUGCUGUCAAAGCUCGGAGCUCAACUCCGACCCGGCAGUGGAAACUGGGGAGCUAGAGGGCGGCAGGGGCAGAAGGAAUUCCCGGUGUAGCGGUGAAAUGCGUAGAUAUCGGGAAGAACACCAGAGGCGAAAGCGUUCUGCUGGGCCGCACCUGACCCUGAGGGACGAAAGCCAGGGGAGCG
This 379-nucleotide ribosomal RNA is filed under the name uncultured cyanobacterium. Its description in RNAcentral is "bacterial SSU rRNA". It matches the Rfam family "Bacterial small subunit ribosomal RNA", at positions 376 to 770 of the family's 1533-position model. The record is from RNAcentral. Lineage: Bacteria; Bacillati; Cyanobacteriota.